GACGAACGGUGCGAACGUUAUUCGGAAUCACUGGGCUUAAAGGGUGCGUAGGCGGGCCCGUAAGUCAGGGGUGAAAUCCCACGGCCCAACCGUGGAAGUGCCUCUGAUACUGCGGGCCUGGAGGGGGAUAGGGGCGUGCGGAACUUCCGGUGGAGCGGUGAAAUGCGUAGAUAUCGUAAGGAACACCGGUGGCGAAAGCGGCGCGCUGGAGCCCUACUGACGCUGAGGCACGAAAGCCAGGGGAGCAAACGGG
RNAcentral lists this ribosomal RNA (253 nucleotides) under uncultured bacterium. Its description in RNAcentral is "partial 16S ribosomal RNA". It matches the Rfam family "Bacterial small subunit ribosomal RNA", at positions 524 to 776 of the family's 1533-position model. The record is from RNAcentral.